RNAcentral lists this RNase P RNA (367 nucleotides) under Caldifarciminota bacterium. Its description in RNAcentral is "RNase P RNA component class A". It matches the Rfam family "Bacterial RNase P class A". Rfam says of the family: Ribonuclease P (RNase P) is a ubiquitous endoribonuclease, found in archaea, bacteria and eukarya as well as chloroplasts and mitochondria. Its best characterised activity is the generation of mature 5'-ends of tRNAs by cleaving the 5'-leader elements of precursor-tRNAs. Cellular RNase Ps are ribonucleoproteins. The record is from RNAcentral. Lineage: Bacteria; Pseudomonadati; Caldifarciminota. RNAcentral also lists the same sequence under 1 other name.
GGAGGAGGCCGGGGGACCGCCCUAAAACGGGAGGAAAGUCCGAGCUCCAAAGGGCAAGGUGCCACCUAACGGGUGGGCGCGGAAACGCGGCGGAAAGGGCCACAGAAACAAGACAGCCGAUGGUUCAAGUUGUAUUGAAUCAGGCUACGGUGAAACCGUGGGGUAAAAGCCCACGUCCUUUGCUGGCAACAGCAGAGGAGGUAACCCCCACCUGGAGCAAGGUCAAGCAGGGACAAAGGAGUUGCCCGCUCCAAUCUGGCGAAAUGUUGGAGAAGUCCCGGGUAGACCGCUAAAGCCAACCGGUGACGUUUGGCUCAGAGAAAUGGUUCCCCUCAGACAGAACUCGGCUUAUAGGCCUCCUCCAAAU